GAAGAAAGUGAAGUCAGCUGUGAAUCAAACUUAUAGCCUUUGGCCCUCUGGAAUAAAUGCAGCUUUGAGUCACUCACGAUGUGCUGCAAAUCCCCCUUUAGUGUCUGCAUCCAGGACUGCUGUUAAAAAAGCAUCGGAGAUAAUCCAGCCCUGCCUGCAGCUGCUGUGGCCAGUGCUCCAGAUAAUGAGAGGAACCUUUCCUGAGCUCAGAAACCAACACCUGGACUUUUGCUGCGAUGCUGGAAGAGAAUGAGGGUGGAAUUAUGAGCUUUGCAAAAGCUCAAGGUGAGAAUCCUCCAUUUUGCAGCAGCCUCAUCCUUUACACAGAGUAUUCUCCAUGAACUUUGCAGAGCUUGGUAAAGAGAUUUGUUUUUACUUCAUGUACUUAGUUCAAAAACUCAGACACAAAGCUGGCAUUGAAGCCCUGAGAGGGGUUCUGUGAGUGGUCCUGCCAAACACCCUCUGCACAAAACAGGUCCUCAGCAUCUGAAAUCUGCUCUGUGGUUCAGCAAUGAGAGCUCUGAUGUGAAGACACAGAUAUGGAGCAGCCCCGAUGGUUCACCUUCAGGACCUGAGCAGUGGCCAAAUGUGUGUCUGGCAGAGGGGGCAUGAGGAGGUGAGAUCCUUCCCCCUGCUGAAACCUGGCCCUGCUCCCACCCUGUGCACACACAGCCGUGUCACAAACUGUCCCCAGUGCAGGGCUGGGCCCUUCAGCUCCUGCUAAAGCCUCACCACCUCCUUCCCCCCAGAGGUGCCACCCUGGGAGCUGCAGCAGGGUCAGGACACAGGGCUGGCACCCCCAGGCAGGGACCCUGGGCAUGGGAGAGGAGAGCAGGAAGGAAACAGGAAUGAUAUGUGUAGAGUUGGGGGAGAAAAGAGAAUAGGAAUAGGGAUAUGGGGAAUAAAAAAUAUGAUAGAGUGGAGAGAUCACCAAGAAAAGAGGGGAGAAAAGGCAAGAUGCAGAAAGAAAGGGCAGGGAAGCACAGGAGAGAAAACUCUCCCCAAACUGGCGCAGGGCUCCCAGCUGUGCUGCCUUUGUGAGAGGAAUGGCUCCAGCCCAGCACCCCCAGGCCUGAUCUCCUUGGAGCACAGGGAGGAAACACAUCCCGGGUCUGGCUCAGCACUUCAGACAUUCCUCUGCCAUUGUUUUUUCAUUCUGCAUCUGUGCUGGCUCCUUUGUGACCCCAGCUGGCACUCUAAAGAAAUGAAUCCUCCAAGUACAACUUGUGCACAUUUCUCUGCAGAAAGUGAGAAUGGCACCAGGCACACUGAUUUGGAAAUGAACUCGUUAAGGCAGCUAUUAGGGCUUUAUAUGCUCCUUUGUCUUACUUGGCUGCAGAGCUGCAGACAGACAAAGUGUAUUUUUGGCCAUCCUCAGCUAUUCAGCACUGCAAAGCAUUCUCAUUAAUAAGUGAGAUGGUGGGAGAUCUAAAGGAAAUAUCAGGCCAUAUAUUUUGAUAAAUACCCUGAAAAUACCAGUUCUAUUGGUCUUUCAGUGAUUAUCAGGACAACCUGAGUGACUACAAUGGCCAGAGCUGCAGCAGGGGGAGCAGCUUCCAGGCAAGUCCCAAAGCACCACUUGGGGAUUAAACCUUUCCAGCAGCUUAAUUUUUGAAGUAGUUCUGUGAGAAGAUGGCACUGCAGGCUGGGAAUCCAGGAUAGGUGCUGGCUUUGACCUUUUCUGAAUUGAUUUAAAUUUUUGCAAAAGGAUUAGUGGUCCAGAUGGACACUCAUCCUAAACUUGACAUUAUGAGCAUUUGCACUUUCAAUUUGGGGAGCAAAAAUUCAUGAUGCAAGGGGACCGUCUACAUAUAAAAAAACAUAUUUACACAUCUGUCUAAACAUUUCUCUGAGAAAUCUCUGGAGCCAGCCUUUUUAUUACAUUUUAAUGAGAUUUUCUUUUACCAACUAAGAAAUUACUUACAGGAGCACAUGUAGAGAUAUUUUUGCCUCUCCUGUACAAUGCUGUCUUUUUUGCAUUGAUUUUGUUCAUAUGGCAUUCCAGUGAAUAGUUACAUUUGGAUUAAGGUGGCACAGCCUGAAAUGCCAUCAUUUUUAAAGCUGACAACCUUGAUGAAAUCAACUGCAUUUCCUUUUCCCUGUGCUCUCUCUGCUUUGCCUCACCUGGGUUUAUUAAGGCUCCAAAGGAGGAGCUGUUUUACCAUUUGCCACAUCUAAAUUUACUGCUAAAGUGCUGAAUUGAGUCGCAGUGUUGUUCAUGAAUGGUCUGAGGGAAUCAAUUGCAACAAAUGAUAAGGGAAGAGCUCCUGGAUGUUCCAGUGAGAGGCUGGAACAGCUCUGCUGGAGAGCCAGGAGUGACAGCAGAGCUCCCAGAGUGUCCCUGCAUGAGUCCUCAAAAGCACCCAGGUGCCUUCGUGCAUCUUUCUGCUUGUCUGUGUCAGCAGGGAAUUUGUGUGUCUGAUGUGGGAAACAAUGAAACAGCAAAGAGAGAUUACUGAUUAAUGCUUCCUUGAUUUACUGGUGUUGUGUUAAUGGAUAAUUAUAUUUAUCGAGUUAUUUCUCUUCUGAGAAGCAAGCACACCUCAGAGUUGCUAAGACACCAAGCCUUGCUGACCCAGACAGGCUUGAGACUCCAGUUCCCAUUCCCAGAGAUUGGGAAGAUACAGGGAGGGGAAAUCCAACCUUUCAGUGCCUGGGACAUAAGGAAUGCUACCCUGGAGUUUGAAGUAGUGCUGGCAGACAACAGGGCCCGAGAGGCAUUGCUUUGCUUGAUUUCCUUGAACUGAUAAGAACAUUGCUGCAGUGGGGUGGGGUA
Molecule: long non-coding RNA, 2776 nt
Organism: Zonotrichia leucophrys gambelii
Lineage: Eukaryota; Metazoa; Chordata; Aves; Passeriformes; Passerellidae
Exons: 3
Source: RefSeq, a predicted model, not a curated record